RNAcentral lists this ribosomal RNA (455 nucleotides) under uncultured bacterium. Its description in RNAcentral is "bacterial SSU rRNA". It matches the Rfam family "Bacterial small subunit ribosomal RNA", at positions 56 to 507 of the family's 1533-position model. The record is from RNAcentral.
UGCAAGUCGAACGGCAGCACGGGGCGAACCUGUGGCGAGUGGCGAACGGGUGAGUAAUGCAUCGGAACGUGCCAUUGAGUGGGGGGUAACGUAGCGAAAGUUACGCUAAUACCGCAUAUUCUGUGAGCAGGAAAGCAGGGGAUCGCAAGACCUUGCGCUCUUUGAGCGGCCGAUGUCAGAUUAGCUAGUUGGUGAGGUAACGGCUUACCAAGGCGACGAUCUGUAGCGGGUCUGAGAGGAUGAUCCGCCACACUGGAACUGAGACACGGUCCAGACUCCUACGGGAGGCAGCAGUGGGGAAUUUUUGGACAAUGGGGGCAACCCUGAUCCAGCCAUGCCGCGUGAGUGAAGAAGGCCUUCGGGUUGUAAAGCUCUUUCGGCCGGGAAGAAAUCGCAUGGGUUAAUACCCUGUGUGGAUGACGGUACCGGCAUAAGAAGCACCGGCUAACUACGUG